Molecule: ribosomal RNA, 490 nt
Filed under: Escherichia coli
Lineage: Bacteria; Pseudomonadati; Pseudomonadota; Gammaproteobacteria; Enterobacterales; Enterobacteriaceae
Description: partial 23S ribosomal RNA
Rfam family: Bacterial large subunit ribosomal RNA
Source: RNAcentral
CCCGUACACAAAAAUGCACAUGCUGUGAGCUCGAUGAGUAGGGCGGGACACGUGGUAUCCUGUCUGAAUAUGGGGGGACCAUCCUCCAAGGCUAAAUACUCCUGACUGACCGAUAGUGAACCAGUACCGUGAGGGAAAGGCGAAAAGAACCCCGGCGAGGGGAGUGAAAAAGAACCUGAAACCGUGUACGUACAAGCAGUGGGAGCACGCUUAGGCGUGUGACUGCGUACCUUUUGUAUAAUGGGUCAGCGACUUAUAUUCUGUAGCAAGGUUAACCGAAUAGGGGAGCCGAAGGGAAACCGAGUCUUAACUGGGCGUUAAGUUGCAGGGUAUAGACCCGAAACCCGGUGAUCUAGCCAUGGGCAGGUUGAAGGUUGGGUAACACUAACUGGAGGACCGAACCGACUAAUGUUGAAAAAUUAGCGGAUGACUUGUGGCUGGGGGUGAAAGGCCAAUCAAACCGGGAGAUAGCUGGUUCUCCCCGAAAGCU